GACGAACGCUGGCGGCGUGCUUAACACAUGCAAGUCGAACGGAAAGGCCUGCUUUCCCUUGUGGAUUGCGGGUACUCGAGUGGCGAACGGGUGAGUAACACGUGAGUGAUCUGCCCCCAACUUGGGUAUAAGCCUGGGGAACUGGGUCUAAUUCCCGAUAGGACUGCAGGGUGGUGCCUGUGGUGGAAAACGAUUUUCUAGUGGUUGGGGAUGAGCUCGCGGCCUAUCAGCUUGUUGGUGGGGUAAUGGCCUACCAAGGCGGCGACGGGUAGCCGGCCUGAGAGGGUGGACGGCCACAUUGGGACUGAGAUACGGCCCAGACUCCUACGGGAGGCAGCAGUGGGGAAUAUUGCACAAUGGGCGGAAGCCUGAUGCAGCGACGCCGCGUGGGGGAUGACGGCCUUCGGGUUGUAAACUCCUUUCGACCGCGAGGAAGCCACCUGGUUGGAAGGGUGGUGACGGUAGUGGUAGAAGAAGCACCGGCUAACUACGUG
This 494-nucleotide ribosomal RNA is filed under the name uncultured bacterium. Its description in RNAcentral is "partial 16S ribosomal RNA". It matches the Rfam family "Bacterial small subunit ribosomal RNA", at positions 28 to 507 of the family's 1533-position model. The record is from RNAcentral.